GAGUUUGAUUAUGGCUCAGGAUGAACGCUAGCGGCAGGCCUAACACAUGCAAGUCGAGGGGUAGAGUGCUUCGGCACUUGAGACCGGCGCACGGGUGCGUAACACGUGUACAAUCUACCUUUUGCUAAGGGAUAGCCCGAAGAAAUUUGGAUUAAUACCUUAUAGUAUUGUUUGGUGGCAUCACUGAAUAAUUAAAGCUCUGGUGGCAAAAGAUGAGUACGCGUCCCAUUAGCUAGUUGGUGUGGUAACGGCAUACCAAGGCUACGAUGGGUAGGGGUCCUGAGAGGGAGGUCCCCCACACUGGUACUGAGACACGGACCAGACUCCUACGGGAGGCAGCAGUGAGGAAUAUUGGACAAUGGUCGGAAGACUGAUCCAGCCAUGCCGCGUGCAGGAUGACGGCCUUAUGGGUUGUAAACUGCUUUUAUACAGGAAGAAUAAGGUCUACGAGUAGAUUGA
RNAcentral lists this ribosomal RNA (459 nucleotides) under Capnocytophaga canimorsus. RNAcentral describes it as "bacterial SSU rRNA". It matches the Rfam family "Bacterial small subunit ribosomal RNA", at positions 9 to 469 of the family's 1533-position model. Lineage: Bacteria; Pseudomonadati; Bacteroidota; Flavobacteriia; Flavobacteriales; Flavobacteriaceae. The record is from RNAcentral.